GAUGAAGAACGUAGUGAAAUGCGAUAAGUAAUGUGAAUUGCAGAAUUCAGUGAAUCAUCGAAUCUUUGAACUCACAUUGCGCCCAUUAGUAUUCUAGUGGGCAUGCCUGUUCGAGCGUCAUUUCAACCCUUAAGCCUAGCUUAGUGUUGGGAAUCUGCUGUAUUGCAGUUCCUCAAAUACAACGGCGGAUCUGUAACAUCCUCUGAGCGUAGUAAAUUUUUAUCUCGCUUUUGUUAGGUGUUGCAGCUCUCAGCCGCUAAACCCCCCAAUUUUUGUGGUUGACCUCGGAUCAGGUAGGAAUACCCGCUGAACUUAAGCAUAUCAAUAAGCGGAGGA
RNAcentral lists this unclassified non-coding RNA (336 nucleotides) under soil metagenome. Its description in RNAcentral is "partial contains 5.8S ribosomal RNA, internal transcribed spacer 2, and large subunit ribosomal RNA". The stretch from base 1 to 120 matches the Rfam family "5.8S ribosomal RNA", at positions 35 to 154 of the family's 154-position model. The record is from RNAcentral.